This 448-nucleotide ribosomal RNA is filed under the name uncultured bacterium. RNAcentral's name for it is "SSU rRNA". It matches the Rfam family "Bacterial small subunit ribosomal RNA", at positions 26 to 518 of the family's 1533-position model. The record is from RNAcentral.
AGAACGAACGCUGGCGGCAGGCUUAACACAUGCAAGUCGAACGCUCGUAGCAAUACGGGAGUGGCAGACGGGUGAGUAACGCGUGGGAACAUACCCUCCGGUUCGGAAUAGCUCAGGGAAACUUGGAUUAAUACCGGAUACGGCUGAGAGGCGAAAGAUUUAUCGCCGGAGGAUUGGCCCGCGUUCGAUUAGCUUGUUGGUGAGGUAACGGCUCACCAAGGCGAUGAUCGAUAGCUGGUCUGAGAGGAUGAUCAGCCACAUUGGGACUGAGACACGGCCCAAACUCCUACGGGAGGCAGCAGUGGGGAAUAUUGGACAAUGGGCGCAAGCCUGAUCCAGCCAUGCCGCGUGAGUGAUGACGGCCUUAGGGUUGUAAAGCUCUUUCGCUCGGGACGAUAAUGACGGUACCGAGAUAAGAAACCCCGGCUAACUUCGUGCCAGCAGCCGC